CCCUUAGAUGUUCUGGGCCGCACGCGCGCUACACUGAUGAACGCAACGAGACCACCUGUACCGAAAGGCAUGGGUAAACUUGUGAAAGUUCAUCGUGAUGGGGAUAGAUUAUUGCAAUUAUUAAUCUUCAACGAGGAAUUCCUAGUAAGCGCGAGUCAUCAGCUCGCGUUGAUUACGUCCCUGCCCUUUGUACACACCGCCCGUCGCUCCUACCGAUUGAAUGAUCCGAUGAAUAUCAUGGAUUGAGGAUGCAAGUAGGUUAGCCUAUCUUCAUCUUCGAGAAGUGAAGUAAAUCUUAUCAUUUAGAGGAAGGAGAAGUCGUAACA
RNAcentral lists this ribosomal RNA (326 nucleotides) under uncultured eukaryote. RNAcentral's name for it is "partial 18S ribosomal RNA". It matches the Rfam family "Eukaryotic small subunit ribosomal RNA", at positions 1470 to 1796 of the family's 1831-position model. The record is from RNAcentral.